Molecule: ribosomal RNA, 253 nt
Filed under: uncultured bacterium
Lineage: Bacteria
Description: partial 16S ribosomal RNA
Rfam family: Bacterial small subunit ribosomal RNA
Source: RNAcentral
UACAGAGGUCCCGAGCGUUGUUCGGAUUCAUUGGGCGUAAAGGGUGCGUAGGCGGUGGGGUAAGUUGGAUGUGAGAUCUUGGGGCUUAACCUCAAAAUUGCAUUCAAUACUGCUCCGCUCGAGUUCUGUAGAGGAGAUUGGAAUUUACGGUGUAGCAGUGAAAUGCGUAGAUAUCGUAAGGAACGCCAGUGGCGAAAGCGAAUCUCUGGGCAGCAACUGACGCUGGGGCACGAAGGCCAGGGGAGCAAACGGG